This 471-nucleotide long non-coding RNA is filed under the name Pongo abelii (Sumatran orangutan). RNAcentral's name for it is "G protein subunit gamma 12 (ENSPPYG00000034896.1)". The record is from RNAcentral. Lineage: Eukaryota; Metazoa; Chordata; Mammalia; Primates; Hominidae.
AGGUCGUAGCCGUCUCCAGGAGCCCUUAGAGACCGAGUCCCGGCGGCGACGGCGGGGCAGCGCACCGGCAGGCGGAACAAGCUCAUCUUUCUUGUGGCUCUCCACAAUAGCCCCUACCUCCACCUUUCUCAGUGCCAGGCAAAGCUUGAUCAGCCGACAGACCACUUUGUUAGCAAUCUGCAGCUAGAUUCAUUCCACUUAAAACCUGAAAACAUUGGACCACACAAAGUCUUACUGAAACACUGAACUGUACUUCAGUAUUUGAUGGCAUGGCAUCGUUAAGAGAUCGUUACUCGUGCAUCAGCUUAAUCGCCUGCUAGGGGCUGUUUCCCUCAGAAGGAUGUGAAAAGAAAAGAGUGUGCAUACAUUUUAUAGAUUAUUAUAAGUUAUUUUUUCAAUACUUGACAGGAGCGUCUAAUGACUAUUGAUAAUAUUCUUAUAUAUUUUUUCUACUUUAAUUUUUAUAUAUUC